RNAcentral lists this ribosomal RNA (253 nucleotides) under uncultured bacterium. RNAcentral's name for it is "partial 16S ribosomal RNA". It matches the Rfam family "Bacterial small subunit ribosomal RNA", at positions 524 to 776 of the family's 1533-position model. The record is from RNAcentral.
UACAGAGGUGGCAAGCGUUGUUCGGAAUUACUGGGCGUAAAGGGCGCGUAGGCGGCCCACUAAGUCAGACGUGAAAUCCCCCGGCUUAACCUGGGAACUGCGUCUGAUACUGGAGGGCUUGAGUAUGGUAGAGGCAAGCGGAAUUCCUGGUGUAGCGGUGGAAUGUGUAGAUAUCAGGAAGAACAUCUGUGGCGAAGGCGGCUUGCUGGGCCAUCACUGACACUGAGGGACGAAAGCGUGGGGAGCAAACGGG